Molecule: ribosomal RNA, 373 nt
Filed under: uncultured bacterium
Lineage: Bacteria
Description: bacterial SSU rRNA
Rfam family: Bacterial small subunit ribosomal RNA
Source: RNAcentral
UAGUGGCGGACGGGUGAGUAACGCGUGGGAAUCUGCCCUCAGGAGGGGGAUAACGGUUGGAAACGACCGCUAAUACCCCAUAUGCCGAGAGGUGAAACGAAAUUCGCCUGAGGAUGAGCCCGCGUCUGAUUAGCUAGUUGGUGGGGUAAAGGCCUACCAAGGCAUCGAUCAGUAGCUGGUCUGAGAGGAUGAUCAGCCACACUGGGACUGAGACACGGCCCAGACUCCUACGGGAGGCAGCAGUGGGGAAUUUUCCGCAAUGGGCGCAAGCCUGACGGAGCAACGCCGCGUGAGGGAUGAAGGCCUCUGGGCUGUAAACCUCUUUUCUCAAGGAAGGAGAACUGACGGUACUUGAGGAAUAAGCCACGGCUAA